UACGAAGGGGGCUAGCGUUGCUCGGAAUCACUGGGCGUAAAGCGCACGUAGGCGGGUCGUUAAGUCGGGGGUGAAUCCUGGAGCUCAACUCCAGAACUGCCUUCGAUACUGGCGAUCUCGAGUCCGGAAGAGGUGAGUGGAACUCCUAGUGUAGAGGUGGAAUUCGUAGAUAUUAGGAAGAACACCAGUGGCGAAGGCGGCUCACUGGUCCGGUACUGACGCUGAUGUGCGAAAGCGUGGGGAGCAAACAGG
Molecule: ribosomal RNA, 252 nt
Filed under: uncultured bacterium
Lineage: Bacteria
Description: partial 16S ribosomal RNA
Rfam family: Bacterial small subunit ribosomal RNA
Source: RNAcentral